RNAcentral lists this unclassified non-coding RNA (554 nucleotides) under Zea mays. RNAcentral describes it as "misc RNA Zm00001eb375350". The record is from RNAcentral. Lineage: Eukaryota; Viridiplantae; Streptophyta; Magnoliopsida; Poales; Poaceae.
CCCAUUAUAAAAAUGCUAAAAAAGGACGAAUAAUGAACUAAAAAACUUUAAGUUAACAAUGGUAGAACUGUCAAAGCGUUCAGGAGAAGUAGGAGAGAGUGUACAAGAAAGUAUGAAACUGAACCUUAUUAGCUUAUCACCAGCUGCUGGAGAAUCGACAGAGAAAAGAACACAUCUUGAUCGGUGCUGCAUGCAUGUGGAAGAUUUAUAUUUGUCUAGGCAGCACGCAUGCAUCUGCACAGGAUGACCAAGUUGACGGCACCGGCCAUGCUUUGCUGCUCUGCUGGCCUCUCUCUGCAGUUUCCCACAGCUUUAUUGAACUGCAUGCACCUGCUGAUGCGGGUGGAGGAGUUGAAGCUGCCGCUCCUCUGAGAGAUGCAGUUCAAGAAAGCUGUGGAAGAUCACAAAGAAGGCCAUCUGAUUACUGCAGGAGGAGGAAGGAAGGAGGAAGAAGGAGAAGGAACACUGCUUGCUGCCUGCUGCCAUCGUCUUUGGCACUCAGUAACAGCAAGUUGGGUGGGUGGCGGAGGAAGCGGGGGAGAGCAAGGGCUAUU